GACGAACGCUGGCGGCGUGCCUAAUACAUGCAAGUAGAACGCACAGUUUAUACCGUAGCUUGCUACACCAUAGACUGUGAGUUGCGAACGGGUGAGUAACGCGUAGGUAACCUGCCUGGUAGCGGGGGAUAACUAUUGGAAACGAUAGCUAAUACCGCAUAAUAUUAAUUAUUGCAUGAUAAUUGAUUGAAAGAUGCAACUGCAUCACUACCAGAUGGACCUGCGUUGUAUUAGCUAGUAGGUGAGGUAACGGCUCACCUAGGCGACGAUACAUAGCCGACCUGAGAGGGUGGUCGGCCACACUGGGACUGAGACACGGCCCAGACUCCUACGGGAGGCAGCAGUAGGGAAUCUUCGGCAAUGGACGAAAGUCUGACCGAGCAACGCCGCGUGAGUGAAGAAGGUUUUCGGAUCGUAAGGCUCUGUUGUAAGAGAAGAACGGGUGUGAGAGUGGAAAGUUCACACUGUGACGGUAUCUUACCAGAAAGGGACGGCUAACUACGUG
This 505-nucleotide ribosomal RNA is filed under the name uncultured bacterium. Its description in RNAcentral is "partial 16S ribosomal RNA". It matches the Rfam family "Bacterial small subunit ribosomal RNA", at positions 28 to 507 of the family's 1533-position model. The record is from RNAcentral.